GCUUCUGUAGUGUAGUCCGGUCAAACUUCUAAUAACUUUGUUUAAAAAGAUAAGGACUAAGCAUGCGAGGCUCUCACCCUCGCGACCCGGGUUCGAAUCCCGGCAGAAGCA
This 111-nucleotide transfer RNA is filed under the name Promethearchaeota archaeon. RNAcentral's name for it is "Candidatus Lokiarchaeota archaeon tRNA-Glu". It matches the Rfam family "tRNA". From Rfam's summary of the family: Transfer RNA (tRNA) molecules are approximately 80 nucleotides in length. Their secondary structure includes four short double-helical elements and three loops (D, anti-codon, and T loops). Further hydrogen bonds mediate the characteristic L-shaped molecular structure. tRNAs have two regions of fundamental functional importance: the anti-codon, which is responsible for specific mRNA codon recognition, and the 3' end, to which the tRNAs corresponding amino acid is attached (by aminoacyl-tRNA synthetases). tRNAs cope with the degeneracy of the genetic code in two manners: having more than one tRNA (with a specific anti-codon) for a particular amino acid; and 'wobble' base-pairing, i.e. permitting non-standard base-pairing at the 3rd anti-codon position. Lineage: Archaea; Promethearchaeati; Promethearchaeota. The record is from RNAcentral.